Molecule: ribosomal RNA, 443 nt
Filed under: uncultured bacterium
Lineage: Bacteria
Description: partial 16S ribosomal RNA
Rfam family: Bacterial small subunit ribosomal RNA
Source: RNAcentral
CCUACGGGAGGCAGCAGUGGGGGAUAUUGGACAAUGGGGGGAACCCUGAUCCAGCGACGCCGCGUGAGUGAAGAAGUAUUUCGGUAUGUAAAGCUCCGUCAGCAGGGAAGAAAGAAAUGACGGUACCUGACCAAGAAGCCCCGGCUAACUACGUGCCAGCAGCCGCGGUAAUACGGAGGGGGCAAGCGUUAUCCGGAAUUACUGGGUGUAAAGGGAGCGUAGACGGUUAAGUAAGUCAGGAGUGAAAGGCCGGGGCCCAACCCCGGGACUGCUCUGGAAACUAUUGAACUUGAGUGCAGGAGAGGUAAGCGGAAUGCCUAGUGUAGCGGUGAAAUGCGUAGAUAUUAGGAGGAACACCAGUGGCGAAGGCAGCUUACUAAACUGUAACUGACGUUGAGGCUCGAAAGCGUGGGGAGCAAACAGGAUUAGAUACCCGAGUAGUC